AUACGGAGGGUGCAAGCGUUAUCCGGAUUCACUGGGUUUAAAGGGUGCGUAGGAGGGCAGGUAAGUCAGUGGUGAAAUCUCCAAGCUUAACUUGGAAACUGCCGUUGAUACUAUCUGUCUUGAAUACCGUGGAGGUGAGCGGAAUAUGUCAUGUAGCGGUGAAAUGCUUAGAUAUGACAUAGAACACCAAUUGCGAAGGCAGCUCGCUACACGAAUAUUGACUCUGAGGCACGAAAGCGUGGGGAUCAAACAGGAUUAGAUACCCUGGUAGUCCACGCCCUAAACGAUGGAUACUCGACAUACGCGAUACACAGUGUGUGUCUGAGCGAAAGCAUUAAGUAUCCCACCUGGGAAGUACGACCGCAAGGUUGAAACUCAAAUGAAUUGGCGGGG
Molecule: ribosomal RNA, 393 nt
Filed under: uncultured bacterium
Lineage: Bacteria
Description: partial 16S ribosomal RNA
Rfam family: Bacterial small subunit ribosomal RNA
Source: RNAcentral